GAGGAAUAUUGGUCAAUGGACGAGAGUCUGAACCAGCCAAGUAGCGUGAAGGAUGACUGCCCUAUGGGUUGUAAACUUCUUUUAUACGGGAAUAAAGUGAGGCACGUGUGCCUUUUUGUAUGUACCGUAUGAAUAAGGAUCGGCUAACUCCGUGCCAGCAGCCGCGGUAAUACGGAGGAUCCGAGCGUUAUCCGGAUUUAUUGGGUUUAAAGGGAGCGUAGGCGGACGCUUAAGUCAGUUGUGAAAGUUUGCGGCUCAACCGUAAAAUUGCAGUUGAUACUGGGUGUCUUGAGUACAGUAGAGGCAGGCGGAAUUCGUGGUGUAGCGGUGAAAUGCUUAGAUAUCACGAAGAACUCCGAUUGCGAAGGCAGCUUGCUGGACUGUAACUGACGCUGAUGCUCGAAAGUGUGGGUAUCAAACAGGAUUAGAUACCCUGGUAGUCCACACAGUAAACGAUGAAUACUCGCUGUUUGCGAUAUACAGUAAGCGGUCAAGCGAAAGCGUUAAGUAUUCCACCUGGGGAGUACGCCGGCAACGGUGAAACUCAAAGGAAUUGACGGGGGCCCGCACAAGCGGAGGAACAUGUGGUUUAAUUCGAUGAUACGCGAGGAACCUUACCCGGGCUUGAAUUGCAACUGAAUGAUGUGGAGACAUGUCAGCCGCAAGGCAGUUGUGAAGGUGCUGCAUGGUUGUCGUCAGCUCGUGCCGUGAGGUGUCGGCUUAAGUGCCAUAACGAGCGCAACCCUUAUCGAUAGUUACCAUCAGGUUAUGCUGGGGACUCUGUCGAGACUGCCGUCGUAAGAUGUGAGGAAGGUGGGGAUGACGUCAAAUCAGCACGGCCCUUACGUCCGGGGCUACACACGUGUUACAAUGGGGGGUACAGAAGGCAGCUACACGGCGACGUGAUGCUAAUCCCUAAAGCCUCUCUCAGUUCGGAUUGGAGUCUGCAACCCGACUCCAUGAAGCUGGAUUCGCUAGUAAUCGCGCAUCAGCCACGGCGCGGUGAAUACGUUCCCG
Molecule: ribosomal RNA, 1017 nt
Filed under: uncultured organism
Description: bacterial SSU rRNA
Rfam family: Bacterial small subunit ribosomal RNA
Source: RNAcentral